This 199-nucleotide small RNA is filed under the name Nitrosospira multiformis ATCC 25196. Its description in RNAcentral is "Proteobacterial sRNA psRNA2". It matches the Rfam family "Proteobacterial sRNA psRNA2". The record is from Rfam by way of RNAcentral. Lineage: Bacteria; Pseudomonadati; Pseudomonadota; Betaproteobacteria; Nitrosomonadales; Nitrosomonadaceae.
GGGUUACUCCUUUGCGCUUUCAGCGCUCAAUUUGAUAAAGAUUCGCACCUCUAUCAAACCGGGUAACCCCACCUUUGGCAAGGCCUACUGUCAGAUUAAAUCUGAACUACUACAAAUGAACAGAUACUUAGUCCAGCUCGACUUCAUCUCCUUUAUAAAAUUCAACUCGUUGUCGUUCUGUUGCGCCAAUACGCUGUUU